GUUUGAUCCUGGCUGAGAUUGAACGCUGGCGGCAUGCCUUACACAUGCAAGUCGAACGGCAGCGCGGGAGCAAUCCUGGCGGCGAGUGGCGAACGGGUGAGUAAUACAUCGGAACGUGCCCAAUCGUGGGGGAUAACGCAGCGAAAGCUGUGCUAAUACCGCAUACGAUCUACGGAUGAAAGCAGGGGAUCGCAAGACCUUGCGCGAAUGGAGCGGCCGAUGGCAGAUUAGGUAGUUGGUGAGGUAAAGGCUCACCAAGCCUUCGAUCUGUAGCUGGUCUGAGAGGACGACCAGCCACACUGGGACUGAGACACGGCCCAGACUCCUACGGGAGGCAGCAGUGGGGAAUUUUGGACAAUGGGCGCAAGCCUGAUCCAGCCAUGCCGCGUGCAGGAUGAAGGCCUUCGGGUUGUAAACUGCUUUUGUACGGAACGAAACGGCCUUUUCUAAUAAAGAAGGCUAAUGACGGUACCGUAAGAAUAAGCACCGGCUAACUACGUGCCAGCAGCCGCGGUAAUACGUAGGGUGCAAGCGUUAAUCGGAAUUACUGGGCGUAAAGCGUGCGCAGGCGGUAAUGUAAGACAGUUGU
RNAcentral lists this ribosomal RNA (589 nucleotides) under bacterium TN114B. Its description in RNAcentral is "bacterial SSU rRNA". It matches the Rfam family "Bacterial small subunit ribosomal RNA", at positions 11 to 595 of the family's 1533-position model. RNAcentral also lists the same sequence under 1 other name. The record is from RNAcentral.